This 413-nucleotide unclassified non-coding RNA is filed under the name Hevea brasiliensis (rubber tree). The record is from RNAcentral. Lineage: Eukaryota; Viridiplantae; Streptophyta; Magnoliopsida; Malpighiales; Euphorbiaceae.
GAAAGUGAAAGCAAGGCUGAGUUGGACAGGUUCUGCGACGCACUUAUCUCCAUUAGGGAGGAAAUUGCAGAGAUUGAGAAAGGAAAAGUUGAUAUCCAGAACAACGUGCUAAAGGGAGCUCCUCAUCCACCGUAUUUGCUCAUGGGAGAUGCAUGGACAAAACCAUAUUCUCGGGAAUAUGCAGCCUUCCCUGCUUCUUGGCUCCGGGGUGCCAAGUUCUGGCCUACUACUGGACGCGUGGACAACGUUUAUGGUGACCGCAACCUCAUCUGCACCCUUCUCCCAGCAUCACAGUAUGUGGAAGAACAGGCAGCAGCUACUGCUUAAUCUGUAUAGAUGUGUCCCUUGUGAGGCUGCCUAUGAACACCAAAGUCAAAAAUCAUCUCUUUUCUUCUCUGUAUACAAGUUCAUCC